AUGUGACCUGGCUCUGCUGGGAAGUGUCUAGUGAGCCGCACAGCUGACUCAGACAGGUGCAUCUGGGGAGGCUGUGGUUGCUGUGUCUGUCCUCGAGUGCCUGCCCUCUUUGGAAAGUAAGGACAUCCUUCAUCACCCCAGGGCCCAGCUUAGCCUUGGAAAACAACUAGAUCUGUGGUCUGUGCUCAUUCUCUUCGGGGGCUAGCACAUUAGAACAAUAAGCUCCAUUUUCUCCUUCCAUCUUACAUUGAGACUGAGACUUCCCAGGAGAGCCUUGGACCUCUAGUGGCUUUCCCUAUAAACUUGGGGGCAGCACAUUGCUGUGUGGAAGAUGCCUCCUCUCUGAGGACUCCACUCAUGAGCCCUUCCUCCUCCUGUCAGCAUUUUCUGGACUCUACCAUAAGCUUCCCGCUUCUGUCCCCCUUGGUUCCUUAAUGUGGCUGAGCAUAGCCAAGUACUCGGCUCUGUCUCGGGAUCCUCAGGAAUUCCAUCAGCCUUGUGGGGUUCCUUUUUCCCUGCUCCUGGAGGCAAAUUAUAUGCAGCAAAACGUAGAACUAGUCUUGUGGAUUUUCUUUGGUGGAGGAGCAUACACCAAUGGUUCCAUGUAAAGGCUCCAGAAUCAGAACUGGAGUCACACCUUGGUGUCACCCCUUCCUGCUGAGCCUGUCUCCCCAGGAGUGAAAUGAGGGUAAUAUUCCUCCUACAAAGGGUGCGGUGGUGGGGGGUUUACAUGAGGUGGGCGCAUCUGUACAAACGUGUUUAUCAUUGCCAGCUACUUUUUUUUUUUUUUAAUAGAGACGGGAUCUCACUAUGUUGCCCAGGCCAGUUUUGAACUCCUGAGCUCAAGUGAUCCUCCUACCUCGGCCUCCCAAAGUGCUAGGAUUACAGAUGUGAGCCAGCACACCUGGCCACCAGCUGCUUUCAUGCAGGUGUUAGAUAUGCUCUCCUAACAGUGGAACGCGGUUCGAUCCCUUCUCCUCACAUACACAGUCAUAAAUGAGUCGUCAGAGUUACCCCAAAGGGAAAUGGUGACAUCUCCCUACAGAGAAAACUAGCACAGAACUUAUGGGCCUCAUUGAACAGUUACGUGGGUUGGUUGGACAGAAAAAUGUUGGUUCAAUUUUCAGAUACUAGGGAGAGCUUAUUUCAGGAGUCCCUUUUCUUACUUUGUUGAGGGGAGGCAUCAGAGCACAUGCUGGGAGGAUAGGCCAGGAAGCAGGCAGUGGUAACGUGGGACAUCGUGCACGUGGUGGAGCAUGCCGCCAUCUCUCCCUUCACCCUGGCAGAGCUCUCCGUUGAACGGGGAGGUGAACUUGGACAUGGACAACAACCAGCCUGUGUCAAGGGGGUUUCCUUACCAGGACUCCUUUCUAGUUUCCUUUCACCUACAAUGUGGUCAUGGGGCAAAAACCCCAGAGACCACAUAUGUAUUGGUGGAAAGAGAAAGAACAGGACUGUGGAGCCAAAGCUACCUCACUAGCUUUUGUGAAACUCAGGCUGGAAAGUGCUUCCAGCCACAGAAAUAGGCUGUGGGUGUAAAUAUUAACCUUGGCCAUCAAAUAAGUAGGCAUAGAGUGUGACUCGCCCUCUCUUGGUCUUCCCUGAAACAGCAGGGUCAAGAACUCCUGGUCUGUGUUAGCCACGUGGCUUACAAAAACAAUGACACAGAAGAGGGAAAGGUGGGACUAGCCAAGCGGAAGGCCAGCCGUUUAUCUCUCAGUGUCCUGUGUCUUAUAUCCUGAGCAGAGCAAGGUGCAAGACCCUGGACUGGGCAUCCAGCAGAAACUUCCGAGAAACUUGACUGUGAGGAAGGAUGCUUGCCUAGCAAUUGGUCGGAUGAAGGGCUCCAUUUGAUACUUCCUUCACUGUGGAAGGAAGAAAUUUGUAAAAAUUAUUUCCAGAAUAUGCACACAUUAAAGGUUUAUAAACCUGACCUUUCUUUAGUAGAAGACAGUAAGAGAAUACUGUUGGCUCUGGGCACUAACCAUUUGAGCUGUGGGACCCAGGGAAUCUCUCUCGUAAGCAUCAUCUUUAGUGGGUGACUCCUGGUGGCCCUCCCAGCUCUGGUGGUGCUGUGGGGACCUGCCUUGGAGAUGCCUUGGUACUAGUACCUUUUUUGUACCAGGCCAUGAGCCUAGGACACAGGGCCUCUGGCCUGCAGAUUUCAGGAAGGCAGCUGUGUUGUGUGAACCGAUACAGCCUGCCAGCACUUCUGUCCCGAGUGACUGUCGUUGUCAUCGUUAGCAUGUUGCCUGAAAAGCCUUGGGGUCUGGGCGCUGACACUGAAGAUUUUUUUUCCCUUCUGGCUCUGUGAUGUCCAGCAUUACCCAGAACGCCAUGGAGGACCAGAGCGCCACGGCCGGGACUCCCGCGAUGGCUGGGGGGGCUAUGGCUCUGACAAGAGGAUGAGCGAGGGCCGGGGGCUGCCUCCUCCCCCCAGGUUUGUGUCCCACACCCCACAGUACCUGACCCCCCCCCCCCACAAGGGGGCCCGCAAGUCGCUGGGAUGUGGGCACAGGGUGGGAAACACAGAGGGAUUCACUCUCCAGAAGCCGCCACAGUUAUUAGCAAAAGAGCCAGAGAUGGGGGCAAUCCAAAUCAGAGAUGUCUCUCUUUCAAGGGGCAGACGUGACUGGGGGGACCAUGGCCGAAGAGAGGAUGACCGGUCAUGGCAGGGCACGGCCGACGGGGGCAUGAUGGACAGGGAUCACAAGAGGUGGCAAGGUGAGGAGCAGCUCUGGGCUGGGACCAGGAUGUGCUGGGGAGUGAUGGAAAGAUGGAGGCCGCGCCUUCUCUCCUUGGGGGAGCACAGGAGGUGCUCUGCUCUCAGUGCUGGAAUGAGGAAUGAAGAGCACUCCAGACACCGCCUGCUCUCUGGUGGUCUGGCCCAGGAGUUGGACAGUGGGCGUUCCCAAGUUCUCUCUGCUGGGAGGAAGCUGGACGUCUAUGGUCCCUGUGCCCAGGUGUCCUCCUGGGACCCGCUAGUUGUGGGUACCUGGGGGCCUCACCAAAGGGAGUGGAGUGGGCUAAAUGUGCCGUGGGUUCCACGCCGUGUGCGCAGGUUCCCAGUGUGAAAGCACGUCUGUCUUCCAGGUGGCGAGAGAAGCAUGUCCGGUCACUCCGGGCCUGGCCACAUGAUGAACCGAGGAGGAAUGUCAGGGCGCGGCAGCUUUGCCCCAGGCGGGGCCUCCCGGGGCCACCCCAUCCCACACGGUGGCAUGCAGGGCGGGUUUGGAGGCCAGAGCCGGGGGAGCAGGCCCAGCGAUGCCCGCUUCACUCGCCGCUACUGAGUACUUGGAAUCCUGUGUCCUGUCACGUGGCAACAAGGCUAUGUUCUGUUAGGAGUUACCUUAAACUGUGUAAAAAUAUUUUUUUUUAAUCUGCUGCCAUAUUGUAGCUCAAUACAAUGUGAAUUUGUUUUUCGUUUUGGGGUUUUUUUUUUUGUAAUAAAUGUGUUUCCGUUCACAUA
This 3469-nucleotide small RNA is filed under the name Pan troglodytes (chimpanzee). Its description in RNAcentral is "retained intron". Lineage: Eukaryota; Metazoa; Chordata; Mammalia; Primates; Hominidae. The record is from RNAcentral.